CUAACAGCUAGGUCAGAAUGGCCCAGAUGGCAGACAAUUUGUUGAAAUAACCAUCCUGCUUCCCUCAGUCCAAUGAUGCAUCCCCUCUCAAAGUCUGUCAACUAGGCCAAAUGUCUUUGAGUGCAUUGUAGAGGCUUGUAUAUAGCGAUCUUUCAUUG
Bufo bufo (common toad) is the source of this 158-nucleotide long non-coding RNA. RefSeq lists it as uncharacterized. The transcript has 3 exons. Lineage: Eukaryota; Metazoa; Chordata; Amphibia; Anura; Bufonidae. The record is from RefSeq and is a predicted model, not a curated record.